AUUCAAUUAAUUUUAAAUACCUUUGCGGAGUUGAUUGGGCGAAUGGGUCUUAAACAAUCAACCAUCUGCCCAAUCGACUCCAAAAAAAGUAUUAAAAAAGUGAAA
This 105-nucleotide microRNA precursor is filed under the name Tetranychus urticae (two-spotted spider mite). RNAcentral describes it as "microRNA tur-mir-5736b precursor". The stretch from base 15 to 94 matches the Rfam family "mir-5736 microRNA precursor family". The record is from miRBase by way of RNAcentral. Lineage: Eukaryota; Metazoa; Arthropoda; Arachnida; Trombidiformes; Tetranychidae.